Oreochromis aureus is the source of this 1334-nucleotide long non-coding RNA. Lineage: Eukaryota; Metazoa; Chordata; Actinopteri; Cichliformes; Cichlidae. The record is from Ensembl.
UUUUGUUGGGUUGAAAAAUAAUUAAAUAAACUUGUGAUCAUACUUAUGGAUCACCAUGGCACAUGUCAUCAGCCAUAUGAUUUAUUUACGCAGAUGAAAAAAGUGAGUGUGAAUGUGCCUGACGUCACAGUGUGUGUGCGUUGUGUAAAACUAAUUGCCUCCAAUUGUGAGAAUGGUGAUUCUGCAGGUCACCAGUUAUUUAAAAAAAAAAAAAAAAAAAAAGACUAAAAAGAGACGAAAUUAAAAUUGCAGAUGAAAAAUAAUAGGAAAAAGGUUUUGUGUUUAUCAGCCAAUAACAACUACAAUCUCAUUUUCUGCUUUUAAGAAAGGAGAAUUCAAAAAACAGAGAGAGAUGUGUGUUGGUUAAGCAGUGAUGAUAAUAAUGAAAAUGUCUUAGUUUUGUCACUUUCAGAUUAAAAGCAGACCUGAAUCAAUUUUCCACAUGCAGCAGUCGGAAGAAAGUUAUAGUUUAACACCACUGGAAAUGUUCAGGCCAGUUUCUGGCUAACUUAUUUACAGCACCAUGUGUCCCUCAACCUCACAAGCGAGAUCUCACUCCUCCCUGAAGACAAGGAAUGCAGUUCCAAAGAGCAAUAACAUGGCAGAUAAAGAGACAGCAGCAAAGUCCUGAGCAAAGAGUCCCAGCAAGCAGCAGCAGUGUGGACAAACAGCAUCGGAGAAGAAGAGCAAACCCAUCAUCCUGACUGAUUGGAUGAAUGACACUGUAUUUCCAACAAGCUGCAAAUUCACUGUGCUUGUGAAAAGAACGUUUGAAAAGAACUGAGGAGACUGUUGGAGUUUGACAUUUUUCACCUUUGGAGAAAAUGGCAAGAAGAGACAGUGGAACACAGGACAAAGCUGAAGAAGAACUGCCGGUUGUUGGACUGUUGAAGUGGGAGAGGACAACAGAGUGAGAGGAGACUUGAGAUAUGACUGCACUAUGCUGUUGCUGGUGACCACAGUUAAUUCUACAAGACAUGCUGUGUAGGAGAGACGAGUCCUCCGUCACAGAUGGUGUGGUCAGUGAAGAUGGUCGCCUGCAGGUUCAAGCUCAUUGCAUCUCCAACCCACAUCCACUGCCACUGUACUUAAGGGAAGUUAAAGACUUUCUUCUGCACCUACAUUUGGAUCACCUCGAUCCAUGACAGUCAUUCAGGCAGUAAUGCCUGGACUGGAAACAAGCCAUCCUUAAAAUAAUACAACAUUCCAGCUCAUGUGUUGGAAUGGAAAACAAAUGUGUUGUUUAAAUUAGAGACUGCACUUGUGACAGAACAAUAAAUAUUUUAUUUUGAUUAUAUAAGUAAUGUAAGUACAAAACAAACUUGUGGUAGGCC